ACGCUCGACACCUACGGGAGCAGCAGUGGGGAAUAUUGGGCAAUGGGCGAAAGCCUGACCCAGCAACGCCGCGUGAGGGAAGAAGGUUUUCGGAUUGUAAACCUCUGUCCUCAGGGACGAAGGACGUGACGGUACCUGAGGAGGAAGCCCCGGCUAACUACGUGUCAGCAGCCGCGGUAAUCUGAGCGGGCUGGCAAGGC
This 200-nucleotide ribosomal RNA is filed under the name uncultured bacterium. RNAcentral's name for it is "partial 16S ribosomal RNA". It matches the Rfam family "Bacterial small subunit ribosomal RNA", at positions 328 to 539 of the family's 1533-position model. The record is from RNAcentral.